GCUGCAAGUCGAACGAAUCCCAGCUUUGUAGCAAUACCGAGCUGGGGGAAGUGGCGAAAGGGGCAGUAAGGCGUGGGUAACCUUCCCCGGGGACCGGGAUAGCCUUUCUAACGGAAGGGUAAUACCGGGCGAUGUGGCUGAAGCGCAUGCUUUGGCCAUGAGAUGAAUUUCGCCUCGGGACGGGCUCACGUGGUAUUAGCUUGUUGGUGGGGUGACGGCCUACCAAGGCGAAGAUGCCUAGCAGGUGUGAGAGCACGACCUGCGCCACUGGCACUGAGACACUGGCCAGACUCCUACGGGAGGCUGCAGUCGAGGAUCUUUGGCAAUGGGCGCAAGCCUGACCGAGCGACGCCGCGUGCGCGAUGAAGGCCUUCGGGUUGUAAAGCGCUGUCGGGGGGGAGAAAACCGCAAGGUUGAUCUAUCUCCGGAGGAAGCACGGGCUAAGUUCGUGCCAGCAGCCGCGGUAAGACGAACCGUGCGAACGUUGUUCGGAAUCACUGGGCUUAAAGGGCGCGUAGGCGGGCUGCCAAGUCCGGGGUGAAAUCUUUCGGCUUAACCGGAAAAGUGCCUUGGAUACUGGCGGUCUGGAGGGAGGAGGGGUAUGUGGAACUUCCGGUGGAGCGGUGAAAUGCGUUGAUAUCGGAAGGAACGCCGGUGGCGAAAGCGACGUACUGGACCUCUUCUGACGCUGAGGCGCGAAAGCCAGGGGAGCGAACGGGAUUAGAUACCCCGGUAGCUGGCCUAAACGAUGGAUACUUGGUGUGACUGGGAUUGAAUCCAGUCGUGCCGAAGCUAACGCAUUAAGUAUCCCGCCUGGGGAGUACGGUCGCAAGGCUGAAACUCAAAGGAAUUGACGGGGGCCCGCACAGGCGGUGGAGUAUGUGGUUUAAUUCGACGCAACGCGAAGAACCUUACCUGGGCUCGAACGGCUAGUGACAGGGGGCGAAAGUCUCUUUUCCCGCAAGGGACACUAGUCGAGGUGCUGCAUGGCUGUCGUCAGCUCGUGUCGUGAGAUGUGGGGUUAAGUCCCGCAACGAGCGCAACCCCUGCCUUUAGUUGCCACCAGGUCAAGCUGAGCACUCUAAAGGGACUGCCGGUGAAAAACCGGAGGAAGGUGGGGAUGACGUCAAGUCCUCAUGGCCUUUAUGUCCAGGGCUACACACGUACUACAAUGGGCGGCACAAUGAGUUGCAAACCCGCGAGGGGGAGCCAAUCUCAAAAAACCGCUCUCAGUUCGGAUUGCAGUCUGCAACUCGACUGCAUGAAGCUGGAAUCGCUAGUAAUCGCUGAUCAGCAAGCAGCGGUGAAUACGUUCCCGGGCCUUGUACACACCGCCCGUCACAUCACGAAAGCCCGUUGUACUAGAAGCCGGCGAUUCGACCGCAAGAGAUA
RNAcentral lists this ribosomal RNA (1392 nucleotides) under uncultured bacterium. Its description in RNAcentral is "bacterial SSU rRNA". It matches the Rfam family "Bacterial small subunit ribosomal RNA". The record is from RNAcentral.